UUUGAUAUUGAUUAGCUCACCAAUCAAUACGUAAUGGAACUGGCUUCGCUUUUUUGAUUGAUAGAUAAAAUAAUAGAAUUAGGAAAUCCUCUAUUUACUGAAUAAUAACUUUUUUGUUGACAAAAGAGUAAACAUCAUUAUGUAAGGUAAUGGAACUGGCUUCGCUUUUUUGAUUGAUAGAUAAAAUAAUAGAAUUAGGAAAUCCUCUAUUUACUGAAUA
This 220-nucleotide long non-coding RNA is filed under the name Nicotiana benthamiana. RNAcentral's name for it is "long non-coding RNA (NBEN_LNC040966)". Lineage: Eukaryota; Viridiplantae; Streptophyta; Magnoliopsida; Solanales; Solanaceae. The record is from RNAcentral.